This 259-nucleotide ribosomal RNA is filed under the name uncultured bacterium. Its description in RNAcentral is "partial 16S ribosomal RNA". It matches the Rfam family "Bacterial small subunit ribosomal RNA", at positions 524 to 777 of the family's 1533-position model. The record is from RNAcentral.
UACGAAGGGUGCUAGCGUUGUUCGGAAUUACUGGGCGUAAAGCGCGCGUAGGCGGCGGCACAAGUCAGGGGGUGAAAAUCCCCACAGCUCAACUGUGGAAUUGCCUUUGAAACUAGGCUGCUAGAGUGUCGGAGGGGGAUAGCGGAAUUGCUAAUGUAGAGGUGAAAUUCGUAGAUAUUAGCAGGAACACCGGUGGCGAAAGGCGGCUAUCUGGACGACAACUGACGCUGAGGCGCGAAAGCGUGGGGAUCAAACAGGG